RNAcentral lists this ribosomal RNA (427 nucleotides) under uncultured bacterium. RNAcentral's name for it is "partial 16S ribosomal RNA". It matches the Rfam family "Bacterial small subunit ribosomal RNA", at positions 355 to 774 of the family's 1533-position model. The record is from RNAcentral.
UGGGGAAUAUUGCACAAUGGGCGCAAGCCUGAUGCAGCCAUGCCGCGUGUAUGAAGAAGGCCUUCGGGUUGUAAAGUACUUUCAGCGAGGAGGAAGGCGUUGUGGUUAAUAACCGCAGCGAUUGACGUUACUCGCAGAGGAAGCACCGGCUAACUCCGUGCCAGCAGCCGCGGUAAUACGGAGGGGGCAAGCGUUAAUCGGAAUUACUGGGCGUAAAGCGCACGCAGGCGGUCUGUCAAGUCGGAUGUGAAAUCCCCGGGCUCAACCUGGGAACUGCAUCCGAAACUGGCAGGCUAGAGUCUUGUAGAGGGGGGUAGAAUUCCAGGUGUAGCGGUGAAAUGCGUAGAGAUCUGGAGGAAUACCGGUGGCGAAGGCGGCCCCCUGGACAAAGACUGACGCUCAGGUGCGAAAGCGUGGGGAGCAAACA